Molecule: ribosomal RNA, 254 nt
Filed under: uncultured bacterium
Lineage: Bacteria
Description: partial 16S ribosomal RNA
Rfam family: Bacterial small subunit ribosomal RNA
Source: RNAcentral
UACGUAGGGUGCGAGCGUUGUCCGGACUUAUUGGGCGUAAAGCGCUCGUAGGCGGUGUGUCACGUCGGCCGUGAAAACCUGCAGCUUAACUGUGGGCGUGCGGUCGAUACGGGCAUCACUGGAGUUCGGCAGGGGAGACUGGAAUUCCUGGUGUAGCGGUGAAAUGCGCAGAUAUCAGGAGGAACACCGGUGGCGAAGGCGGGUCUCUGGGCCGAUACUGACGCUGAGGAGCGAAAGCGUGGGGAGCAAACAGG